RNAcentral lists this ribosomal RNA (466 nucleotides) under uncultured Amphinema. RNAcentral's name for it is "eukaryotic LSU rRNA". The stretch from base 142 to 296 matches the Rfam family "5.8S ribosomal RNA". Lineage: Eukaryota; Fungi; Basidiomycota; Agaricomycetes; Atheliales; Atheliaceae. The record is from RNAcentral.
GGCCUCGAAGAGGUAUGUGCACGCCCGAGCUCUUAAAUCCACAACACACCUGUGAACCCACCGUAGGCCUUCGGGCUUAUGUAUCAUAUACUCUGAAUGUGUCAUAGAAUGUUCAUGUUGCCUUAAAACGCAAUCAAAUACAACUUUCAACAACGGAUCUCUUGGCUCUCGCAUCGAUGAAGAACGCAGCGAAAUGCGAUAAGUAAUGUGAAUUGCAGAUUUUCAGUGAAUCAUCGAAUCUUUGAACGCACCUUGCGCUCCUUGGUAUUCCGAGGAGCAUGCCUGUUUGAGUGUCAUUAAAUUCUCAACCCCACCGAUUUGCUUCGGGGGGAUUGGACUUGGAGCGUGCUGGCGAAGGUCGGCUCCUCUUUAAAUGCAUCAGUGGAGAGAAACUCGCCCCAGUGUGAUAAUCCUGUUGCGCUGUGGUGGGCGAAAGUCUGCUACCAACCGUCCCUCCGGGGAAAUA